GAUCCUGGCUCAGGAUGAACGCUAGCGACAGGCUUAACACAUGCAAGUCGAGGGGCAGCAUGAACUUAGCUUGCUAAGUUUGAUGGCGACCGGCGCACGGGUGAGUAACGCGUAUGCAACUUGCCUAUCAGAGGAGAAUAGCUCAUCGAAAGAUGAAUUAAUGCUCCAUAAAACAAGGGUCCCGGCCAUGGGAAGUAUUGUUUAAAGGUAAUUACUAUCGCUGAUAGAA
This 229-nucleotide ribosomal RNA is filed under the name uncultured bacterium. RNAcentral's name for it is "partial 16S ribosomal RNA". It matches the Rfam family "Bacterial small subunit ribosomal RNA", at positions 15 to 226 of the family's 1533-position model. The record is from RNAcentral.